GAUGAACGCUGGCGGCGUGCCUAAUACAUGCAAGUCGAGCGAACGGACGAGAAGCUUGCUUCUCUGAUGUUAGCGGCGGACGGGUGAGUAACACGUGGAUAACCUACCUAUAAGACUGGGAUAACUUCGGGAAACCGGAGCUAAUACCGGAUAAUAUUUUGAACCGCAUGGUUCAAAAGUGAAAGACGGUCUUGCUGUCACUUAUAGAUGGAUCCGCGCUGCAUUAGCUAGUUGGUAAGGUAACGGCUUACCAAGGCAACGAUGCAUAGCCGACCUGAGAGGGUGAUCGGCCACACUGGAACUGAGACACGGUCCAGACUCCUACGGGAGGCAGCAGUAGGGAAUCUUCCGCAAUGGGCGAAAGCCUGACGGAGCAACGCCGCGUGAGUGAUGAAGGUCUUCGGAUCGUAAAACUCUGUUAUUAGGGAAGAACAUAUGUGUAAGUAACUGUGCACAUCUUGACGGUACCUAAUCAGAAAGCCACGGCUAACUACGUGCCAGCAGCCGCGGUAAUACGUAGGUGGCAAGCGUUAUCCGGAAUUAUUGGGCGUAAAGCGCGCGUAGGCGGUUUUUUAAGUCUGAUGUGAAAGCCCACGGCUCAACCGUGGAGGGUCAUUGGAAACUGGAAAACUUGAGUGCAGAAGAGGAAAGUGGAAUUCCAUGUGUAGCGGUGAAAUGCGCAGAGAUAUGGAGGAACACCAGUGGCGAAGGCGACUUUCUGGUCUGUAACUGACGCUGAUGUGCGAAAGCGUGGGGAUCAAACAGGAUUAGAUACCCUGGUAGUCCACGCCGUAAACGAUGAGUGCUAAGUGUUAGGGGGUUUCCGCCCCUUAGUGCUGCAGCUAACGCAUUAAGCACUCCGCCUGGGGAGUACGACCGCAAGGUUGAAACUCAAAGGAAUUGACGGGGACCCGCACAAGCGGUGGAGCAUGUGGUUUAAUUCGAAGCAACGCGAAGAACCUUACCAAAUCUUGACAUCCUUUGACAACUCUAGAGAUAGAGCCUUCCCCUUCGGGGGACAAAGUGACAGGUGGUGCAUGGUUGUCGUCAGCUCGUGUCGUGAGAUGUUGGGUUAAGUCCCGCAACGAGCGCAACCCUUAAGCUUAGUUGCCAUCAUUAAGUUGGGCACUCUAAAUUGACUGCCGGUGACAAACCGGAGGAAGGUGGGGAUGACGUCAAAUCAUCAUGCCCCUUAUGAUUUGGGCUACACACGUGCUACAAUGGACAAUACAAAGGGCAGCGAAACCGCGAGGUCAAGCAAAUCCCAUAAAGUUGUUCUCAGUUCGGAUUGUAGUCUGCAACUCGACUACAUGAAGCUGGAAUCGCUAGUAAUCGUAGAUCAGCAUGCUACGGUGAAUACGUUCCCGGGUCU
Molecule: ribosomal RNA, 1372 nt
Filed under: uncultured bacterium
Lineage: Bacteria
Description: bacterial SSU rRNA
Rfam family: Bacterial small subunit ribosomal RNA
Source: RNAcentral